ACGGGUGAGUAACACGUGGGUGAUCUGCCUCGCACUUCGGGAUAAGCCUGGGAAACUGGGUCUAAUACCGGAUAUGACCUUCCAGUGCAUGCUGGUUGGUGGAAAGAUUUAUCGGUGCGAGAUGGGCCCGCGGCCUAUCAGCUUGUUGGUGAGGUAACGGCCCACCAAGGCGACGACGGGUAGCCGACCUGAGAGGGUGACCGGCCACACUGGGACUGAGACACGGCCCAGACUCCUACGGGAGGCAGCAGUGGGGAAUAUUGCACAAUGGGCGAAAGCCUGAUGCAGCGACGCCGCGUGGAGGAUGACGGCCUUCGGGUUGUAAACUCCUUUCGACAGGGACGAAGCGCAAGUGACGGUACCUGUAGAAGAAGCACCGGCCAACUACGUGCCAGCAGCCGCGGUAAUACGUAGGGUGCGAGCGUUGUCCGGAAUUACUGGGCGUAAAGAGCUUGUAGGCGGUUUGUCGCGUCUUCUGUGAAAACUUGGGGCUCAACCUUAAGCUUGCAGGCGAUACGGGCAGACUAGAGUACUUCAGGGGAGACUGGAAUUCCUGGUGUAGCGGUGAAAUGCGCAGAUAUCAGGAGGAACACCGGUGGCGAAGGCGGGUCUCUGGGAAGUAACUGACGCUGAGAAGCGAA
Molecule: ribosomal RNA, 641 nt
Filed under: Nocardia sp. I13A-01617
Lineage: Bacteria; Bacillati; Actinomycetota; Actinomycetes; Mycobacteriales; Nocardiaceae
Description: bacterial SSU rRNA
Rfam family: Bacterial small subunit ribosomal RNA
Source: RNAcentral